CCAACUACGGAUCCAAACGAGAUAGGUCACCACUCCCACAAUUCGCUGCUAACAAAUCUGAAAGACCCAAUAAGACAACAAUUCACAUCUUCAAAGCUUAAAAGAAUAGAAAAGCUUCCCCUAAUUCACCAAACACAAUCACCUUACCUACUAAACGAGUAACGACAGAACCACACCGCUCUAAUGCUAACCAAAUCGUUCUAGUCCUUAACCUUCAUCAAUGAAACAGUCUUAACCUUCAUCAAUGAAAUAGUCAACCUAUCACCAAAAAUCCAUAAACCAAAUAACACCACAGUUACAAAACUUACCACCAAAGCGCAAAGGCAAAACGAAGAUGACAAAUUGCGGCAAUAAGGAUUUGAGAAGGAAAUGGACUACUAGAAAAACCAAAGCAGGGAGAGAAGAAAAUUUUCAGUAGUAGUCGACAACAAACAAAAAAAGGAGAAAAGAAAGGCCCGACGACACAAUCCCCAACCGUCCACCAUAAUCCCCUCAACCAUCGAAUUCAAACCUCACUCAAACUCUUCGGUCAAACUACAACACCCUCAUGGCACAAGCAGUAAAAAUAAAUCCCAUGUUUGCGCAAGGACUCAAACUCCAAACUUCCUGCUCAAUUGCACUUCACUUAACUACCAAACCAACAGAUCCAUUCUAACAUAUUUUACUAAUAUUUAUUUAUAAGCCUAUUGACUAGACUUGAACUUAAGACCUCCCAAACACUCCCAGAACACAUAACCACUAGAGCUAACAAAUAUUUAUGUCAUAAAUAUACAAAAAUAAAUAUAUAAGGGAUUUUUGGGACGUUACAUUAUCGGUACAAUAAAAUUUUAGCAGCAGUACUAUAAUAUUUAGUAACAACUUUUAACAUUGAUAAUACCCAUUUUUGUUCUAGUGUAACAAAAGAAAACUAGCAAGAAAACAAGGCACACCGGACUAUAUGCCAUUGAAAGUUACGAGUUAUCCCUAAAUGAAAGAAGAUGUUAUCACCUUAAAGAAAAAACAUGAAUCUAACAUUAAUCCCAUAUAAAGUACUAAAUUUAUGCGCAAAAUUAUAAGUUUGAAGUCAGUUUAAAAAGGUAAAAAGAAAAUCAAAAUUUAAGAAGAAAAAACAAAAGAAAAAAAGGGAUGGAAUAGGUGAUAUGAACCUUUCAGAAAACCAGAUAGAUAAAAAAAAAAGAAAUUAGAAAGGUGAGGGACCCGAGAAGGGAAUGGCAAUAAGUGAUGAAUGUAAUCAGUCCAAUAAUACAACAAAAUCUUGAUUUCUGACAAGUCAACCCAGUAAGUACUAGAAUACAACAAAGGUAGGGGACCCCUCGUUGACCUUCUCACCUCUUAAUCAUCCUUCAUAUACACCAUUACACAUUAUAUGUGCACAUCAACCAUUGCCAAACAUUUUAAUUUCAACUCAGAAUCUGUCUCACUUUUCCUCUAUCUUCUUUCCCUUUCCACAACAACAGCUCCAUGCAUCCCUACAUAUAUCACAUGCCUUCAUCAAAAUCAUAACCAUAAUCCAUAAUGCUUCCAAUGCUCAUCAUUACCAAUACCCAAACUUCUUUCUUAGUAAAUUUCAAGUCUUCUAUUAUUGAAAACCAACUAAUAUUUUUUAGAUUAUUAUUAUCGCUUUCUUUUCUUUUUCAUUCGUCCCUUGUCUUUUAGAUUUGUUAUGCUUGAUACCAUCCUAUUAGAUUUUUGCUAAUAAACUAAUGAUUUAAACUUUGCAUAAAGUCGUUAAUUUUUAUAUUUUUUGUCAAUUUAAUUUUUAUUUUUAUUUUGUUAAAUUUUGAUUCUUAACCUUUUAAAAAGAGUUUAAUUUGACUAUCAACUUUUUAAAAAAAAUCAAAUUGUUGUUUUAAAUUGAAAUACAGAUAAAAACAUUAAACUUUUACACAGAGCUGCCCACAUGACAAUUCAUGAUUACUC
This 1920-nucleotide long non-coding RNA is filed under the name Gossypium raimondii (Peruvian cotton). Its description in RNAcentral is "long non-coding RNA (GRAI_LNC009209)". The record is from RNAcentral. Lineage: Eukaryota; Viridiplantae; Streptophyta; Magnoliopsida; Malvales; Malvaceae.